AGAAUCAACGCUGGCGGCGUGCCUAACACAUGCAAGUCGCACGAGAAAGGGGAGCAAUCCCUGAGUAAAGUGGCGCACGGGUGAGUAACACGUGAAUCAUCUACCUCCGAGUGGGGAAUAACUGAGAGAAAUCUUAGCUAAUACCGCAUAACACUUACGAGUCAAAGCAGCAAUGCGCUUGGAGAGGAGUUCGCGGCAGAUUAGUUAGUUGGCGGGGUAAUGGCCCACCAAGACGAUGAUCUGUAUCCGGCCUGAGAGGGCGCACGGACACACUGGAACUGAAACACGGUCCAGACUCCUACGGGAGGCAGCAGUGGGGAAUUUUGCGCAAUGGGGGAAACCCUGGCGCAGCAACGCCGCGUGGAGGAUGAAGCCCCUUGGGGUGUAAACUCCUUUCGAUCGGGAAGAUAAUGACGGUACCGAUAUAAGAAGCCCGGCUAACUUCGUGCCAGCAGCCGC
This 459-nucleotide ribosomal RNA is filed under the name uncultured bacterium. Its description in RNAcentral is "SSU rRNA". It matches the Rfam family "Bacterial small subunit ribosomal RNA", at positions 26 to 518 of the family's 1533-position model. The record is from RNAcentral.